Molecule: ribosomal RNA, 442 nt
Filed under: uncultured Candidatus Liberibacter sp.
Lineage: Bacteria; Pseudomonadati; Pseudomonadota; Alphaproteobacteria; Hyphomicrobiales; Rhizobiaceae
Description: bacterial SSU rRNA
Rfam family: Bacterial small subunit ribosomal RNA
Source: RNAcentral
AAGUUCCCGCAAUGAGCGCAACCCCUUCCUCUAGUCGCCAUCAAGUUUUACGUUUUUACGUAGAUGUUGGGUACUUUAUAGGGACCGACGGUGAUAAGCCGGAGGAAGGUGGGGAUGACGUCAAGUCCUCAUGGCCUUUAUGGGCUGGGUUACACACGUGCUACAAUGGUGGUUACAAUGGGCCGCGAACUCGCGAGGCGGAGCUAAUCCCCAAAAGCCAUGUCAGUUCGGAUUCCACUCUGCAACUCGAGUGCCUGAAGUCGGAAUCGCUAGUAAUCGCGGAUCAGCAUGCCGGGGUGAAUACGUUCUCGGGCCUUGUACACACCGCCCGUCACACCAUGGGAGUUGGUUUUGCCUGAAGACGGUGUGCUAACCGCAAGGAGGCAGCCGGCCACGGUAGGGUCAGCGAUUAAGGGAAGUCGUAACAAGGUAACCAAUUGAA